ACAUACUCUUCAUCCAUAUGAGCGAUCUCUUAUUGAAUUGACUCUUGGAGAUAGAAAUUAUCAUUAUAUUAUAUCAAGAAUUAUUGUUAUAAGGUGUUUAUGUGCUGAGACGAACUUCAAAGAAACUUUUUUGGCAACAGUUUGCAAGAGGUCUAUAUUGAGAUGCAUUUCUUUGGCGCAAUACUAGACAACAUUGGUAGUUGAAGUUUUUAGAAUAAAAAAUAUAUUUCACUAACUUUGUAUACAUUUCUUGUUUAAUAUUUGGUGAUAAUAGAAUUUGAUUGUAGUAUAAA
Humulus lupulus (European hop) is the source of this 293-nucleotide long non-coding RNA. RefSeq lists it as uncharacterized. The record is from RefSeq and is a predicted model, not a curated record. The transcript has 3 exons. NCBI's taxonomy places the organism in Eukaryota, Viridiplantae, Streptophyta, Magnoliopsida, Rosales, Cannabaceae.